Molecule: ribosomal RNA, 433 nt
Filed under: uncultured bacterium
Lineage: Bacteria
Description: partial 16S ribosomal RNA
Rfam family: Bacterial small subunit ribosomal RNA
Source: RNAcentral
AACGAACGCUGGCGGCAUGCCUAACACAUGCAAGUCGAACGAGACCUUCGGGUCUAGUGGCGCACGGGUGCGUAACGCGUGGGAAUCUGCCCUUGGGUUCGGAAUAACAGUUGGAAACGACUGCUAAUACCGGAUGAUGACGUAAGUCCAAAGAUUUAUCGCCCAAGGAUGAGCCCGCGUAGGAUUAGCUAGUUGGUGAGGUAAAGGCUCACCAAGGCGACGAUCCUUAGCUGGUCUGAGAGGAUGAUCAGCCACACUGGGACUGAGACACGGCCCAGACUCCUACGGGAGGCAGCAGUGGGGGAUAUUGGACAAUGGGCGAAAGCCUGAUCCAGCAAUGCCGCGUGAGUGAUGAAGGCCUUAGGGUUGUAAAGCUCUUUUACCCGGGAUGAUAAUGACAGUACCGGGAGAAUAAGCUCCGGCUAACUCCGUG